This 468-nucleotide ribosomal RNA is filed under the name uncultured bacterium. Its description in RNAcentral is "partial 16S ribosomal RNA". It matches the Rfam family "Bacterial small subunit ribosomal RNA", at positions 28 to 507 of the family's 1533-position model. The record is from RNAcentral.
GACGAACGCUGGCGGCGUGCUUAACACAUGCAGGUCGAACGGAAAGGCCCUGCUUUUGUGGGGUGCUCGAGUGGCGAACGGGUGAGUAACACGUGAGUAACCUGCCCUUGACUUUGGGAUAACUUCAGGAAACUGGGGCUAAUACCGGAUAGGAGCUCCUGCUGCAUGGUGGGGGUUGGAAAGUUUCGGCGGUUGGGGAUGGACUCGCGGCUUAUCAGCUUGUUGGUGGGGUAGUGGCUUACCAAGGCUUUGACGGGUAGCCGGCCUGAGAGGGUGACCGGCCACAUUGGGACUGAGAUACGGCCCAGACUCCUACGGGAGGCAGCAGUGGGGAAUAUUGCACAAUGGGCGGAAGCCUGAUGCAGCAACGCCGCGUGCGGGAUGACGGCCUUCGGGUUGUAAACCGCUUCCGCCUGUGACGAAGCGUGAGUGACGGUAAUGGGUAAAGAAGCACCGGCUAACUACGUG